GAUGAACGCUGGCGGCGUGCCUAAUACAUGCCAGUCGAGCGAACGGACGAGAAGCUUGCUUUUCUGAUGUUAGCGGCGGACGGGUGAGUAACACGUGGAUAACCUACCUAUAAGACUGGGAUAACUUCGGGAAACCGGAGCUAAUACCGGAUAAUAUUUUGAACCGCAUGGUUCAAAAGUGAAAGACGGUCUUGCUGUCACUUAUAGAUGGAUCCGCGCUGCAUUAGCUAGUUGGUAAGGUAACGGCUUACCAAGGCAACGAUGCAUAGCCGACCUGAGAGGGUGAUCGGCCACACUGGAACUGAGACACGGUCCAGACUCCUACGGGAGGCAGCAGUAGGGAAUCUUCCGCAAUGGGCGAAAGCCUGACGGAGCAACGCCGCGUGAGUGAUGAAGGUCUUCGGAUCGUAAAACUCUGUUAUUAGGGAAGAACAUAUGUGUACGUAACUGUGCACAUCUUGACGGUACCUAAUCAGAAAGCCACGGCUAACUACGUG
RNAcentral lists this ribosomal RNA (497 nucleotides) under uncultured bacterium. Its description in RNAcentral is "partial 16S ribosomal RNA". It matches the Rfam family "Bacterial small subunit ribosomal RNA", at positions 28 to 507 of the family's 1533-position model. The record is from RNAcentral.